GACUAGUCUGAAGGUAGUGAGUUACCUCAAUUGAGUGUUAGCAGUCACAGAUCAAACCCCUUGUUCUACUCUUUCCACCUUCUCACUCCUGCACUCACGACAACA
This is a non-coding RNA of Macaca mulatta (Rhesus monkey), 105 nucleotides long. The record is from Rfam. Lineage: Eukaryota; Metazoa; Chordata; Mammalia; Primates; Cercopithecidae.